Molecule: long non-coding RNA, 1308 nt
Organism: Poecilia latipinna (sailfin molly)
Lineage: Eukaryota; Metazoa; Chordata; Actinopteri; Cyprinodontiformes; Poeciliidae
Exons: 3
Source: RefSeq, a predicted model, not a curated record
CAUAUUUAAAAUAUACUUAAAUGUAUAAUUUUUUUUCACCAGGUAAUAGUGCCAGGGAUAUAGAAAAUAUGUUUAGUCUGUUUCUUGAACUCAGUGUACAGAAGAUUUUCAACAGCAUUCAUUGGACAAAAAAUUGGGUUGCAUUAGUAUGAACUUAAUUUUGCUGUUAAUCCAGGCUGCAUUAUGGGACUGGGAAUCAUUAAUAAAGCAAAAAAAAAAAAAAAAAAAAAAAAAUCCCCUUGAUUUUUGGAGAUGGAGUUCUCAAACUCAAAGCAAAGACCAUGGGCUGUAGCACUUUAGCUUAAAUAAAUACAAAUAAAACCACUGUCAAACUUGAGUGUGUAAGGACUUAUUUCCUUUACCGCUCUUUGCAACAUGUCUACUCAUAUCUGAAAUAUGAGUAGACAGACGCAUAUUUCCAACACAAGCACCAAACUCACAUGUUUAGCGGUUUAUUCAGGCUUCAUUUUUUCCUCUGGUUCUUUUGCUUUAAUUCUCUUCUCACUGUUUAGAAUUUACAAACACUGCAAGCAAAAGAAGAGGUUCAACAGUAUAGCGAUAGGCCUUCUCAUAAAAUUCACAAUCCAUACACAUUCUGUACCAUUACUCUUUGUAAUUAGUCAACUAAUAAAUGCCACCUUACUGACAUAGUCCUGAUAUUUACUUUAUUUUUAUUGUCUGCAUCUGGUGAAAGCUGUCUCCCUUUCUCUUCACUAUUCCUCUUGAGCUCCACCUGAGUUCCUGCAAUGGCCACAGUCAGUGUCCAGACCAGCAGGGGGCAGUGCUGUAUUCACCUGUGUUGCUCAGGGUGUCCCUGAUCCCCAUCUAAUUUGGCUGAAGAAUGGCAAAGUCUUGAUAUCAGGACAAACUGUCAAGCUGACAAAUAACAACAGUACUUUAGCUCUGACCCAUAUAAGCUCAGAUGAUGAGGCUAUCUACCAGUGCAUCGCAGAGAAUAGUGCUGGUACUAACCAGGCAAGUGCCCGUCUAGCUGUGGCCCAAGCUAAAGACCUGCCUGCUGCCCCCCAAGCCCUCAUGGCGAGUGCUUUGUCCAUCAACACCCUGCAAAUAACAUGGAGUAAUCCACCCAUCAGCAUUGCUGAUGACAUCAUCGGAUACAUCUUACACAUCCGCAAACUGGGUGAACCUGAUCAUAUGGAACUGCAGGAGGCCAUAAGCAAGGACACUUUUCAGCAUGAUGCAACCAACCUGGAACCUAGCACAACCUACUCUCUCUACCUGAAAGCCUAUUCUUCCUUGGGGGCAAGCCAGCAGUCCAACAGUGUAAUUAAAACAACACUUGGCAGU